RNAcentral lists this transfer RNA (86 nucleotides) under Thermoanaerobaculia bacterium. RNAcentral's name for it is "tRNA-Leu". It matches the Rfam family "tRNA". Rfam says of the family: Transfer RNA (tRNA) molecules are approximately 80 nucleotides in length. Their secondary structure includes four short double-helical elements and three loops (D, anti-codon, and T loops). Lineage: Bacteria; Pseudomonadati; Acidobacteriota; Thermoanaerobaculia. The record is from RNAcentral.
GCCGGAGUGGCGAAAUCGGUAGACGCAGGGGACUUAAAAUCCCCCGCCGCGCAAGCGGCAUGCUGGUUCGAAUCCAGCCUCCGGCA